RNAcentral lists this transfer RNA (57 nucleotides) under Alligator mississippiensis (American alligator). It matches the Rfam family "tRNA", at positions 8 to 63 of the family's 71-position model. Rfam says of the family: Transfer RNA (tRNA) molecules are approximately 80 nucleotides in length. Their secondary structure includes four short double-helical elements and three loops (D, anti-codon, and T loops). The record is from Rfam by way of RNAcentral. Lineage: Eukaryota; Metazoa; Chordata; Crocodylia; Alligatoridae.
UGGUUCAGUGGUAGAAUCCUUGUCUACCACAUAGGAAAGCCUGGGUUUGAUUCCCAG